AUGGAGAAUCAUGCUAAAUCCGUGCGCCAGCUGGAGCCAUGGCGGUAACUCGCCGGAAAAGUUGUGAUGGUCACCGGAGCUUCAUCAGGAAUCGGCCGAGAUUUCUGCUUGGAUUUAUCAAAAGCUGGUUGUAGAAUCAUCGCCGCCGCUCGUCGAAUCGAUCGAUUGAAAUCUCUAUGUGAUGAUAUCAACGGAAUCAGCUCGAAUUCCUCGAAUGGAUCGAAGAAGUCGAGUCAGGAACUGCGAGCCGUAGCGAUUGAGCAUGACGUUAGCGCGAAUGGUUCCGCCAUUGAAGCCGCCGUACAGAAAGCUUGGGACGCCUUUGGACGUAUCGACGCUUUGGUUAAUAACGCCGGUAUUCGAGGCAGUGUGCAUUCUCCACUGGAUUUAUCAGAGGAGGAAUGGGAGAAUACCUUUAAAACGAACCUAAGAAGGGCAUGGCUGGUGACCAAAUACGUUUGUAUACAUAUGCGCGCUGCCAAUCAAGGAGGAUCUGUUAUUAAUAUCUCUUCUAUCGCUGGUCUUAAUCGUGGCCAAUUACCAGGGUGUCUUGCUUAUGCCUCUUCAAAGGAAGCUCUCAACAGCAUUACAAAGAUGAUGGCCCUCGAAUUGGGAGCAUACAAGAUCAGAGUGAACUCAAUAUCACCAGGACUAUUCAAAUCUGAGAUAACAGAGGGUCUUAUACAAAAAAAAAACUGGCUUCAAAACAUUGAAUUGAGAACCAUUCCUUUGAGAACACAUGGAACAUCAAAUCCUGCUUUGACUUCAGUAGUGCGUUAUUUAAUCGACGAUUCCUCAGAAUAUGUUUCAGGUAACAUGUUCAUAGUAGAUGCUGGAGCUACUUUACCAGAUGUCCCAAUUUUGUCAUCCCUCUAGUCAUAGAGGAAAUCAAA
Molecule: RNA transcript, 893 nt
Organism: Solanum dulcamara
Lineage: Eukaryota; Viridiplantae; Streptophyta; Magnoliopsida; Solanales; Solanaceae
Exons: 3
Source: RefSeq, a predicted model, not a curated record